GCCUUCCCGGGCGGAAACGCCCGGGCCUCAUUGAAGC
This is a non-coding RNA of Azospirillum lipoferum 4B, 37 nucleotides long. The record is from Rfam. NCBI's taxonomy places the organism in Bacteria, Pseudomonadati, Pseudomonadota, Alphaproteobacteria, Rhodospirillales, Azospirillaceae.